GAUGAACGCUGGCGGCGUGCCUAAUACAUGCAAGUCGAGCGAACGGACGAGAAGCUUGCUUCUCUGAUGUUAGCGGCGGACGGGUGAGUAACACGUGGAUAACCUACCUAUAAGACUGGGAUAACUUCGGGAAACCGUAGCUAAUACCGGAUAAUAUUUUGAACCGCAUGGUUCAAAAGUGAAAGACGGUCUUGCUGUCACUUAUAGAUGGAUCCGCGCUGCAUUAACUAGUUGGUAAGGUAACGGCUUACCAAGGCAACGAUGCAUAGCCGACCUGAGAGGGUGAUCGGCCACACUGGAACUGAGACACGGUCCAGACUCCUACGGGAGGCAGCAGUAGGGAAUCUUCCGCAAAGGGCGAAAGCCUGACGGAGCAACGCCGCGUGAGUGAUGAAGGUCUUCGGAUCGUAAAACUCUGUUAUUAGGGAAGAACAUAUGUGUAAGUAACUGUGCACAUCUUGACGGUACCUAAUCAGAAAGCCACGGCUAACUACGUG
This 497-nucleotide ribosomal RNA is filed under the name uncultured bacterium. RNAcentral's name for it is "partial 16S ribosomal RNA". It matches the Rfam family "Bacterial small subunit ribosomal RNA", at positions 28 to 507 of the family's 1533-position model. The record is from RNAcentral.